RNAcentral lists this long non-coding RNA (1148 nucleotides) under Sus scrofa (pig). RNAcentral's name for it is "lncRNA (ENSSSCG00000049720.2)". The record is from RNAcentral. Lineage: Eukaryota; Metazoa; Chordata; Mammalia; Artiodactyla; Suidae.
CCAAAAGAGGUGGAAAUGCGUCAUUGAAUCCAGCUCACCCAGGGUUGGGAAUGAAGAAGUGAAGACAGUGCUACCCUGAUCAACCGAGGGAAGAAGGAGGGUUCAGGAGGCCAAACCCUGCCCGUGGAGUUCCCCGGAACUCAUGAGGAAGAGCAGGCUAGAGAUCCCAUCAGAUCUGGAGCUGCUGGCCUACGCCACAGCCACAGCAACACCAGAUCCAAGCCGGUUCUGCGACCUACACCACAGCUCACAGCAACGCUGGAUCCUUAACCCACUGAGCGAGGCCAGGGACCGACCCCUCGUCCUCAGGGAAUGCUAGUCAGGUUCAUUACCGCUGAGCCAUGACGGGACCUCCUGCAUUUAGAUUUUUAGCGAACAUCUACUUCGCGCCUCACCUCAAGUCAGUUGCUGGGGAGAAGCAGAAAGGAGGCGUGGGCUGGGCUAGUGCGCAGGUGGACUCAGCCCACCCCUAGUGAGGCUCCCUGCCUGGACUUCUGGGAGAGGCUUGAAUGAGCCUUGAAGGAGAUACCUGACUAUCAAAGGAGGGGGCGAAACAGCAUCCCGAGCCAAGGAAAUGACAUUGUGAAAGCCUCCAAGAUGUUUGGGGUUCAUGACUCCUUGGCACAGUUAAGGCCUGGGGUCCACGGGACAGUCGGGGGAGAGAUGAAGUGAUGAGGCCGAAACCAGAGCAGCGGCUGACUGCACCUCAGGAGUCUGCGGGGGAAGGACUUUGUGGACGUGGCGAUUAUCUCAACUGUUUGUGGGGCAAUCACAGGAGCAUCUGGGGAGAAAACUGGCCCCAGAAGGAAAAGGGCUGCAGGCGGGAAGACCAGAAAGGAUGCUGUUCAGAUGGCCCAGGUGAAAGCCAGUGAGGGCCUAGACUGAGCAGACGUGGUGGGAUGGAGGGGCCCCAGGAGACAGCUCUGGAUUUGGCAGUUGCGGGGGAGGAGCUAGAACAUUGUGCUUUUACAAGAGUGGGUUAUUUAUCCAAAAACAAACAAAACAAAACAACAGCAACAACAGGGCAUUGCCGCAAGCUGUGGUGUAGGCUGCAGAUGUGGCUCGGAUCCAGCGUGGCUGUGGCUGUGCCGUAAGCCAGCAGCUGCAGCUCCGAUUCGAGCCCAGGAACUUCCAUAUGCCUCAGGUGG